UGGGACAGUAUGGCGGCGGAGCUGCGUGUGAGCACGAUACCGUGUCCAGAAGGGGUGAAGAGGCUCCCUUGGCUGGGGAGCUGAUUUACCCUCAGUGCAGCUGCACAAUGGUGAGGAACUGCAGCAUCUGUCUUGGAGGAAAUGGUCCUGCAGAAUCCUGGGGCUGCUGUUGCCCAAAGACAGCUUUGACCAGAGGGCAGCUGUUAUGCUGGGCUUCAGGCUGAAGGUCAAUUGCAGCUUCUGACAGGCCGCCCAGCAGAGCUGGUGACAGGGAGCGUCGGCAGGAGUCAAGGUUGGUUUGUGAAAGGGGAGGGAAUGGCACCACAAAUCAGGCACACUGGGUCUGGCACAGCACAGCUGUCUCCCGGGCAGGACCAGGCACUGGGACAAGCACCUGGGGCUUUUGGCUCCCAAGGUGUAACAGGGAAAAGAAAGUGGAGAGGCAGCCCGAUGAUAAAUGGGAAAAGUAAAAGUUACUCAGUGCUUUGAGACCAGAGGGGCGGGAAUUGUUUCAGAAUGGACUUUUUUAGGAAAUUAGUUGCAGCCUUGGUUUGUGGUUUCUCACAGAACUAGAAGGAAGAUUGUUCUGGAUUGAGUGUCAUAAAUGACUGCUGAUAAGUCAUGUGAAAUGCUGAUAAGUCAAUGUGAAAUAAGUCAUGUGAAAAUGCUCAGUGGUUGCUGCAGCCACACCUUGGGAUCUGAUCUACAGUUGACUGGAGGACAAAGUGGUUCCCUGCUUUCUUCUGUUCCAGAAUAAAAUAAGUUGUGGAAAA
Ficedula albicollis (Collared flycatcher) is the source of this 773-nucleotide long non-coding RNA. RefSeq lists it as uncharacterized. The record is from RefSeq and is a predicted model, not a curated record. NCBI's taxonomy places the organism in Eukaryota, Metazoa, Chordata, Aves, Passeriformes, Muscicapidae. The transcript has 5 exons.